UACGUAGGUGGCGAGCGUUGUUCGGAAUUACUAGGCGUAAAGCGUCUGUAGGCGGGGCGGAAAGUCACAGGUGAAAGCUUUGGGUUUAACCCAGAAAUUGCUUGCGAUACUUUUGUUCUUGAGGGAUGGAGAGGAAGCUGGAAUUCCCGGUGUAGCGGUGAAAUGCGUAGAUAUCGGGAGGAAUAUUAAUGGCGAAGGCAGGUUUCUGGUUAUAUUUUGAUGUUGAGAGACGAAAGCUCGGGGAGCAAACAGG
RNAcentral lists this ribosomal RNA (253 nucleotides) under uncultured bacterium. Its description in RNAcentral is "partial 16S ribosomal RNA". It matches the Rfam family "Bacterial small subunit ribosomal RNA", at positions 524 to 776 of the family's 1533-position model. The record is from RNAcentral.